UUCGCGCGCGGACUCGCCCCAAAUUCAUUGGCAGCGGUCCUUGCCUCCUCUCGCGCAGCACAAUUGCGUCUGCGGGGGGGCGUGGCCCGCGUCCACGAAGCAACAUUACCGUCUUUGACCUCGGAUCAGGUAGGGAUACCCGCUGAACUUAAGCAUAUCAAUAAGCGGAGGAAAAGAAACCAACAGGGAUUGCCCUAGUAACGGCGAGUGAAGCGGCAACAGCUCAAAUUUGAAAUCUGGCUCUCUUUGGGGGUCCGAGUUGUAAUUUGCAGAGGAUGCUUUGGCAUUGGCGGCGGUCUAAGUUCCUUGGAACAGGACAUCACAGAGGGUGAGAAUCCCGUACGUGGUCGCCUGCCUUUGCCGUGUAAAGCUCCUUCGACGAGUCGAGUUGUUUGGGAAUGCAGCUCUAAAUGGGAGGUAAAUUUCUUCUAAAGCUAAAUACUGGCCAGAGACCGAUAGCGCACAAGUAGAGUGAUCGAAAGAUGAAAAGUACUUUGGAAAGAGAGUCAAAAAGCACGUGAAAUUGUUGAAAGGGAAGCGCUUGCAGCCAGACUUGCCCGCAGUUGCUCACCUAGGCUUUGGCCUGGGGCACUCUUCUGCGGGCAGGCCAGCAUCAGUUUGGGCGGUUGGAUAAAGGCCUCUGUCACGUAUCUCCCUUCGGGGUGACCUUAUAGGGGAGGCGCAAUGCAACCAGCCCGGACUGAGGUCCGCGCAUCUGCUA
Molecule: small RNA, 721 nt
Filed under: Paraphaeosphaeria sporulosa
Lineage: Eukaryota; Fungi; Ascomycota; Dothideomycetes; Pleosporales; Didymosphaeriaceae
Description: eukaryotic LSU rRNA
Rfam family: Eukaryotic large subunit ribosomal RNA (bases 116-721)
Source: RNAcentral